Molecule: transfer RNA, 76 nt
Filed under: Candidatus Margulisiibacteriota bacterium
Lineage: Bacteria; Bacillati; Candidatus Margulisiibacteriota
Description: Candidatus Margulisbacteria bacterium (hot springs metagenome) tRNA-Val
Rfam family: tRNA
About the family: Transfer RNA (tRNA) molecules are approximately 80 nucleotides in length. Their secondary structure includes four short double-helical elements and three loops (D, anti-codon, and T loops). Further hydrogen bonds mediate the characteristic L-shaped molecular structure. tRNAs have two regions of fundamental functional importance: the anti-codon, which is responsible for specific mRNA codon recognition, and the 3' end, to which the tRNAs corresponding amino acid is attached (by aminoacyl-tRNA synthetases). tRNAs cope with the degeneracy of the genetic code in two manners: having more than one tRNA (with a specific anti-codon) for a particular amino acid; and 'wobble' base-pairing, i.e. permitting non-standard base-pairing at the 3rd anti-codon position.
Source: RNAcentral
GGGCGCGUAGUUCAGGGGUUAGAAUGCCUCGUUUACACCGAGGAGGUCAUAGGUUCGAAUCCUAUCGCGCCCACCA